GUGGAUUUUAUCGUCACAUGACGGAUAGUAUCAUUUUCUUAAAAUAGCCGUUUAUUUGAGCCGUAUAUAGCCAGUUACAGGGCGUAGCAUUAACUAUACAACAGGAUCGCCGAAUCUACCAGAACAGAUAAAAGAAACCUUACGAUGUACCGCCCAGCCCAACCUGGAGUGAACGUCACAGUUCAUCAUCCGCCUCCUCCUGGGUACCCCGCUCCAAACACGGGGUACCCUGCGUACCCGCCACAGCAGCCGCCGUACCAACCACAGCCAUAUCCGGUGCCACAAGCGUACCCCCAGCCUCCUGUCACAUAUCCUGCCCAGCCCCCAGUUGUGUAUCCCGCCGGUUACGCCCAACCUCAACCCCCCGUCUUCGUUCCAGGACCCCCACCUCCCAGGAUUGAUGUUCAUUUCGGUCGUGGGCUAAGGUUUGGACCUUUUCACCAUCACCACCAUCACGGGCGCCAUCAUCAUCAUUGGUAACCGGAAGAGCACGCACCUGUUCCGUUGUGUUAUCGUUCCAGUAAAACAAACGUAUAAAAAAAUGUUUAUAUACUUAUUAUAACAGAACUCGGGGAAAUGAUGGUAAAGCAAGCGGAAGCGGAUGCCGUUCCUGACUGUAUGCAGCUGCUAUGUACAUUAUAACUUGUUAACCAACCCCUGAUAAUCUGAAAGCCUAGCUGUGUGAACAAAUCUCAACAAUGACAACUGUAUUAACUUGUGUAUAUUGUUCAUUCUCUGGACAAUCAUAAACUGUUUUUAUCUACAUACAAAAUCAAUUCGGACCUUGCUCGCGGGUUGGAUUGUUGAUGGUUGAUCUAUCCUGUAUCACGCACACGGGUCGGAAUACACGAUACUCAAAGUCCGGUUCAUCAGUUAUAAAU
This is a long non-coding RNA of Mizuhopecten yessoensis (Yesso scallop), 881 nucleotides long. RefSeq lists it as uncharacterized. The record is from RefSeq and is a predicted model, not a curated record. The transcript has 2 exons. Lineage: Eukaryota; Metazoa; Mollusca; Bivalvia; Pectinida; Pectinidae.